RNAcentral lists this ribosomal RNA (346 nucleotides) under uncultured bacterium. RNAcentral describes it as "partial 16S ribosomal RNA". It matches the Rfam family "Bacterial small subunit ribosomal RNA", at positions 338 to 699 of the family's 1533-position model. The record is from RNAcentral.
CCUACGGGGUGCAGCAGUAGGGAAUCUUUCACAAUGGGCGAAAGCCUGAUGCAGCAACGCCGCGUGCAGGAUGAAGGCCUUCGGGUUGUAAACUGCCUUUAUAAGCGAGAUAUAUGAUGGUAACUUAUGAAUAUGGAUCGGCUAACUACGUGCCAGCAGCCGCGGUCAUACGUAGGAUCCGAGCAUGAUCCGGAGUGACUGGGUGUAAAGAGUUGUGUAGGGGGCAUAAUAAGUAGCUAGUGAAAUCUGGUGGCUCAACCAUUCAGACUAUUGGCUAAACUGUUAAGCUCGAGACCGUUAGAGGUAACUGGAAUUUCUGGUGUAGGAGUGAAAUCCAUAGAUAUUA